Molecule: ribosomal RNA, 449 nt
Filed under: uncultured bacterium
Lineage: Bacteria
Description: partial 16S ribosomal RNA
Rfam family: Bacterial small subunit ribosomal RNA
Source: RNAcentral
AACGAACGCUGGCGGCAUGCCUAACACAUGCAAGUCGAACGAAGCCUUCGGGCUUAGUGGCGCACGGGUGCGUAACGCGUGGGGAUCUGCCCUUUGCUUCGGAAUAACAGUUAGAAAUGACUGCUAAUACCGGAUGAUGUCGUAAGACCAAAGAUUUAUCGGCAAAGGAUGAACCCGCGUAGGAUUAGCCAGUUGGUGGGGUAAAGGCCUACCAAGGCGACGAUCCUUAGCUGGUCUGAGAGGAUGAUCAGCCACACUGGGACUGAGACACGGCCCAGACUCCUACGGGAGGCAGCAGUGGGGAAUAUUGGACAAUGGGCGAAAGCCUGAUCCAGCAAUGCCGCGUGAGUGAUGAAGGCCUUAGGGUUGUAAAGCUCUUUUACCCGGGAUGAUAAUGACAGUACCGGGAGAAUAAGCCCCGGCUAACUCCGUGCCAGCCGCCGCCGUAA